CGCAAUUAUGAUUUUAUUGUACGGAAUCUUUCGAAUAUUUUUACUUUUGAUUGUCUUUUACGUUAAAGAUUAAUAUCUUAAUUUAUUUUUAUUUUUUUGAUUAUAUCUUAUAUGUCAUAUAAUAUCUUGAUAUCUUGAUAUUAGUUAAGAAUUGCCUGGUAUUAAAAAAUUUAUUUGAAAAUAAGAAAGCCGGUAAGAAAGUAAGAAAUUUAUUUGAAAGUAAAUUGUUUAUCUCGAUUUUCUUUUAAAUUUAGCUUAUGUUAAGCUAUAUUCAAGAAUAUAUAUUAAAGAACAAUUAAAAAUUUAACACUAAAUAUUAAUAAUCAAUUUGUUAGGAUUAAUUUUAUAUUAUUUACACAUAUUAUAAUUUGAAUAAUAUUUUUCAUAUUUACAUACAUUUGAUAAUUUUAAUAUGUUAUAUAUAUAUAUAUAUAUAAAAUAUUAUAUAUAAAAUAUUAUAACUAAAUUAUUUCAUUAUUUAUAUAUAUAUUUUUUUAUUUUCAUCAUCAGUAGGUAAUGAGGUUAUCUGUAUUUUUUAUCUAAUCGAUGAAAUAUUUAUUCAGCGUAUGUGCAAAAUGCAUAUAUAUUAUAUGAAGAAAGAGGUAUGGAACACGUGUAUGUCAAGAAUGAUAACUGGACUACGUAGAUGCUGAAUUACAUAUUUAUAUGCUGAAUUCAAUACAGAACAGAAGAAAAGUAUAUUUUUACGUCGAUUAUAUUGAGAGAUGACUGAAAAUAUACGCUGAAUUGAACACAUUAAAUACUAGGAUGCUAGUGUGAACAUUACGCGAUCCCAUCAAUUCAUUUGACCUGUGAACUUCAGAUGAUGGUGCGUUAGGGCCAACGACACGCGUUCCAAGUAUACGCACCAGAGAAGAUGCAAUCUUCGUGGUUGGUAGUUCUCGUUUCAUUGUCAUCUCGUUUAAACAAUUAUUCUCUAUAUUGACAGUUAUCCUAGGCAGUUAGCUUGUUUGCAAAGUGCACGUAGUGUUCUACUUGCUUUCAAGCUAGUGUCGAUCAAUGAAAAGGCGACACUGAAUAGUUUAUAGUCGAAAAGCAUUUAAAAGCUUUGCGACUUUUAAGCCUUUAAGUUUGUAUAUAAAGAAUAGACACGCAAAGUGUGUUUGAAUGAAUAUAUUGUUGGCCUAGAUACAGUUUUCCCGCCUUUUUGUAGCUAUUAUACAUAAUUAAUUCUCACCACUCUUUUUUAAGUAUAAAAUAUGUUUCCUUGAUAUUAUUUUUUAUUUUUUAGAUGCAGUGUGAUAGUAAAAGAAUAGAAACAUCGAUUGACAUAUCUUCAUAGUUAGUGAAGAAAAUAAUCAUGAGAUUGCGACUUCUUACAACUGUUUUCAAGUUCUAUUAUGAAAUUACAAACAUUAAUCGUAACUACUAUGUUAAGUAAGGAUAUUUAUAGACCAGUUUUCUGUCUUGCGCAAAGAAUUAAGAGUUCCUCGACCGCCAGAAUGUUUACGACAAAAUUAAGAGGCGACAUCGAGUGGUUUUGAGCAUCUUGUUCAAAGGCUUUUUCGAUGCUUAACGAUCUAGCUAAAAAGAGAAAGAAUAAGGGACAAAGUAAGGCGAACGUUCAAAGAAGAAAAAAGGGAGAGAAUCAGGUUCAAGAUCGUUAAUUCCGACAUUGCCGAGGCAGUUGGUGCAUUCAAGAAUGAUGCGUAAGAGCUCCCGCUCGACGUAGAAUCAUGACUCGAUCUCGAUACGUAUAAUUCUCCAAGAGAUUCGAGCUUGAAUAUAAAGAUACCUGUACGGAGAGCAUUUCUCUUGCAAGUAGUAGUUGACUCGCGAAAAAUGCUACGUCCUUGAGGUAACUGAUACUCGAGAUCGUGCUGUGACAGCGAUAUUGCAAACCUAGUGCACUAUCGAUGGCGUAAUGGUUAUAUAUACUGAUAUAAUCAAAAGAUUGCUAUGAUUGUAAAUGUAGAUAUUUCUUUAUCUAAAGACUUAUUUACAUCUUAUUUUUUCUUUUUCUUUUUCUUUUAAUUACUAUAUAAUAUAAUUAAAAAUCAAGCUUUGAAAUAUAUCAUUUUUAUAGAUUAUAGAGUCAAUACAAAGAAAUAAUAUAUAAUCAUUCUUAUUUGAUUCACGAAAAAAAUGACUCAUAAGCGCUUUUGUAAACGAUAAAACGCAAACGAUAAAAAAUCCAAGGUUUCUUUUUAGAAAGUUGGAUAGGUGUCAGUACAACGACAUUACUCGUGAAAUAUUUGUUUCGUUGAUUUACUCUAAUGAAUGUGCUUAUAGUGGAGAAGAGAGCGCGUUAGCGCGCAUUUAGCUAAGUUUAGCGGUGGUUUCAGAUGGCUGGCACUGUUUUCUCGGCGAUGUAUUAUCGAGGCGUUAACAGCAUUACGCGCUUCGAACUUGCGGUUCGUUCAACCCUUGUAAUCGCGAAAGGGUAGAUCGUAGCAAUUGUUGCAGGUUUAAAAAUCAUUCGAGCAAGAAUAUCGAAAUUUGUAUUUAAAUCAAAUCAAAUAUUCGUUUAUAUAGACACAAAUCCACUUAAAAAUUAAACGAUAUAUUUAUAUGUUCUAUAAUUUUAUUCCAUUUUUCCAUAAUGAAGUUUCAGCAUUUAUCAAAAGCUAUGAUUAAUUUUAUGUGAUGUGUAUAUUUCAUUUAAUAACGGCGUAUGCAAUAUUUUCUCGCAUACUUCAUACUUGACCAUCACUGUUUACAUUAGUUGCUUUGAAAGUGAACCAGCAGAUGUGCAUGUGCGUAUAAACACUUGAAUCCAGCUUUGGGUUCCAGAAGACGUUAAGGGAAUUUCGUUACAGAUAGUUUGUACGACAUGUGAAUACAACUGUUUCGUUUCUUGUAACUUCGAUACAUUCGAUCCGAUAUAGAUUGAUAAUAUAUAGAUUGCGAUAGUUCAAAAAUCAAUAGAUUUGAGAAUGAUUUGACAUAAUAAUGUAAUAGUUCCAUGGAUCAGAUGUAUACUACUAAUUGAUUUCCUGUAUUUUAGUGUUACAGUGAUAUAUAGAACUAUAUUGUGCGAAAUGUCGAAUCAUAAAUAUAUAGUUUAUAUAGUUUCUAUCUGAUAUGAAUUAAAACGAUUUCAUUGCCUUCUUCAAACAACAUUCUACGAAAAUUUGAUUUAUAUUUAUCAAUGUUACAUAUCAAUCUUGCGAUUUGAAUAAAUUAUCUCAUUAUUAGUGUAAAUUUAGAUACAGUGUUUAAGUAGAUGAAUUGCAUUUUGAUGAAUUGCAACUAUGUUUCUAAUAUCAAUUUAAUUCUAAUAUUAAUCUGACAAGGAAAUAUUUGAUAUCGAUUAAGAUUAAAACGACAAUAAGUAUUCGCGAAUGUUAAGAUUCACAUUUUCCGUUUGAUACUACGAAAGCUGAAUGACCUCGGCUUUGAAAUUCCGUUAUAUUCAUCAUGUGCAAUCAUCUCUAAACUUGUCGUCUAUCAUAUAUCUUCUUGUAAAUAAUGAUUAAAAAUACAAUUCAUUCGAAUUAUAUAUAAGAAAUAUCUUUUUAAAAUUCAUAAGAAACUUAUAAUUAUAUAUAAAUAGAAUGAAUUUCAAAUCCUGUGUUAAAAUAUUGGAAUAGAAAAAUAUAUAGAUAUAUAUAUUCUAAA
Molecule: long non-coding RNA, 3582 nt
Organism: Apis cerana (Asiatic honeybee)
Lineage: Eukaryota; Metazoa; Arthropoda; Insecta; Hymenoptera; Apidae
Source: RefSeq, a predicted model, not a curated record